Non-coding RNA from Hydra vulgaris (swiftwater hydra), 512 nucleotides. The record is from RefSeq and is a predicted model, not a curated record. Lineage: Eukaryota; Metazoa; Cnidaria; Hydrozoa; Anthoathecata; Hydridae.
CUGAUCAUAAAUAUAUCUCUAUGAUUGGUUAGUUUUUAAAAACGUAAUGUUUUGAAAACGCGGAAUGUUUGAAAAACAAAAACGAUUCGGUUGUUUAAGUAUCGGUACUUGUUUAAAGUAUCGUCAGUUUAUCAAAACAUUUACAAAAUAUUUUUUUUGCUUGAAUAAUGAGAGUAUAUAUAUAUAGGUUAUGUAUAUAUAAUGUGUAGAAAAUUAAAAAUUUGAAUGCUGACAGUGAAUUAGAUUUGAAUGCUGACAGGAUUGAAAAUAAACAGCUGGGAAGAUUUAUAUGAGACUCAAAUUAAUUGAAAUCCUAUAUAUAUCCUGUAAAAUAUGGUAGCUCAAGCCAAGUUUUGAAAUACGGUUCGAAAAUCGUUUUUCUGCAUCGCCCUGGUCGCCUCAUAUAGUCGUUAUACUAAUAUAGAGAAAUAUCAUCUCAGCAAUUUUAAUAGUAAAAAUUUUAAUAUUAUACUGUAAUUAGUAUUUAUUUUAACACAGAUUGCUCCAUAAAA